CGAUGAACCACUUCGGUGGGGAUUAGUGGCGAACGGGUGAGUAACACGUGGGCAAUCUGCCCUGCACUCUGGGACAAGCCCUGGAAACGGGGUCUAAUACCGGAUACGACCGUCUUGGGCAUCCUUGAUGGUGGAAAGCUCCGGCGGUGCAGGAUGAGCCCGCGGCCUAUCAGCUUGUUGGUGAGGUAACGGCUCACCAAGGCGACGACGGGUAGCCGGCCUGAGAGGGCGACCGGCCACACUGGGACUGAGACACGGCCCAGACUCCUACGGGAGGCAGCAGUGGGGAAUAUUGCACAAUGGGCGCAAGCCUGAUGCAGCGACGCCGCGUGAGGGAUGACGGCCUUCGGGUUGUAAACCUCUUUCAGCAGGGAAGAAGCGAAAGUGACGGUACCUGCAGAAGAAGCGCCGGCUAACUACGUGCCAGCAGCCGCGGUAAUACGUAGGGCGCAAGCGUUGUCCGGAAUUAUUGGGCGUAAAGAGCUCGUAGGCGGCUUGUCGCGUCGGUUGUGAAAGCCCGGGGCUUAACCCCGGGUCUGCAGUCGAUACGGGCAGGCUAGAGUUCGGUAGGGGAGAUCGGAAUUCCUGGUGUAGCGGUGAAAUGCGCAGAUAUCAGGAGGAACACCGGUGGCGAAGGCGGAUCUCUGGGCCGAUACUGACGCUGAGGAGCGAAAGCGUGGGGAGCGAACAGGAUUAGAUACCCUGGUAGUCCACGCCGUAAACGGUGGGCACUAGGUGUGGGCAACAUUCCACGUUGUCCGUGCCGCAGCUAACGCAUUAAGUGCCCCGCCUGGGGAGUAC
RNAcentral lists this ribosomal RNA (801 nucleotides) under Streptomyces sp. Its description in RNAcentral is "bacterial SSU rRNA". It matches the Rfam family "Bacterial small subunit ribosomal RNA", at positions 67 to 883 of the family's 1533-position model. The record is from RNAcentral. Lineage: Bacteria; Bacillati; Actinomycetota; Actinomycetes; Kitasatosporales; Streptomycetaceae.